UGUAAAGUACUUUCAGUCGUGAGGAAGGUGUUAAGGUUAAUAACCUUAGCAAUUGCCGUUAGCGACAGAAGAAGCACCGGCUAACUCCGUGCCAGCAGCCGCAGUAAUACGGAGGGUGCGAGCGUUAAUCGGAAUUACUGGGCGUAAAGGGCACGCAGGCGGUUAAUUAAGUUGGAUGUGAAAUCCCUGGGCAUAACCUAGGAAUGGCAUUCAAGACUGGUUAGCUAGAGUCUUGUAGAGGGGGGUAGAAUUCUAUGUGUAGCGGUGAAAUGCGUAGAGAUGUGGAGGAAUAACGGUGACGAAGGCGGCCCCCUGGACAAAGACUGACGCUCAUGUGCGAAAGCGUGGGGAGCAAACAGGAUUAGAUACCUUGGUAGACCACGCUGUAAACGAUGUCGAUUUGGAGGUUGUGGUCAUGAACUGUGGCCUCCGGAGCUAACGCGUUAAAUCGACCGCCUAGGGAGUACGGCCGCAAGGUUAAAACUCAAAUGAAUUGACGGGGGCCCGCACAAGCGGUGGAGAAUGUGGUUUAAUUCGAUGCAAUCGCGAAAAACCUUACCUACUCUUGACAUCCAGC
RNAcentral lists this ribosomal RNA (577 nucleotides) under Arsenophonus endosymbiont of Embidopsocus sp. RNAcentral describes it as "bacterial SSU rRNA". It matches the Rfam family "Bacterial small subunit ribosomal RNA", at positions 424 to 992 of the family's 1533-position model. Lineage: Bacteria; Pseudomonadati; Pseudomonadota; Gammaproteobacteria; Enterobacterales; Morganellaceae. The record is from RNAcentral.